RNAcentral lists this unclassified non-coding RNA (261 nucleotides) under uncultured Hypocreales. RNAcentral describes it as "sequence contains 5.8S rRNA gene, ITS2, 28S rRNA gene". The stretch from base 1 to 52 matches the Rfam family "5.8S ribosomal RNA", at positions 103 to 154 of the family's 154-position model. The record is from RNAcentral. Lineage: Eukaryota; Fungi; Ascomycota; Sordariomycetes; Hypocreales.
AACGCACAUUGCGCCCGCCAGUACUCUGGCGGGCAUGCCUGUUCGAGCGUCAUUUCAACCCUCAAGCCCCAGCGGUUUGGUGUUGGGCGUCGGCCGUCCCCUCGCGGCGGCCGUGCCCCAAAUCUAGUGGCGGUCUCGCUGUUGCCUCCUCUGCGUAGUAAUUACAACCUCGCACCGGAACGACGCGAAGGCCACGCCGUUAAACAACCUAACUUUCUGAAUGUUGACCUCGGAUCAGGUAGGAAUACCCGCUGAACUUAA